Molecule: ribosomal RNA, 253 nt
Filed under: uncultured bacterium
Lineage: Bacteria
Description: partial 16S ribosomal RNA
Rfam family: Bacterial small subunit ribosomal RNA
Source: RNAcentral
UACGUAGGUGGCGAGCGUUGUCCGGAUUUACUGGGCGUAAAGGGAGCGUAGGCGGAUUUUUAAGUGAGAUGUGAAAUACUCGGGCUCAACUUGAGUGCUGCAUUUCAAACUGGAAGUCUAGAGUGCAGGAGAGGAGAAUGGAAUUCCUAGUGUAGCGGUGAAAUGCGUAGAGAUUAGGAAGGACACCAGUGGCGAAGGCGAUUCUCUGGACUGUAACUGACGCUGAGGCUCGAAAGCGUGGGGAGCAAACAGG